Molecule: non-coding RNA, 202 nt
Filed under: Coprobacillus sp.
Lineage: Bacteria; Bacillati; Bacillota; Erysipelotrichia; Erysipelotrichales; Coprobacillaceae
Description: T-box sequence
Rfam family: T-box leader
About the family: Uncharged tRNA acts as the effector for transcription antitermination of genes in the T-box leader family. T-boxes are found upstream of many aminoacyl-tRNA synthetase genes and some amino acid biosynthetic genes usually in Gram-positive bacteria. The anticodon of a specific tRNA base pairs to a specifier sequence within the T-box motif, and the NCCA acceptor tail of the tRNA base pairs to a conserved bulge in the T-box antiterminator hairpin.
Source: RNAcentral
UUUAAUCCAAUGAACAAGAUUAAGUAGUUAAAUCCUUUUAUAGAGAGAAUACGUCUGGUGAAAGUAUUUAAAGGAUCAUUACGGGACACUUGGGAGGAGUUACUUUGAAAUCUAGUAGGAGUAAACGUCUGUCGCGUUAAGACAUAAGAGCGUGUUAUUUAACACGAAUUAAGGUGGUACCGCGUUAACUAACGUCCUUAUU